RNAcentral lists this long non-coding RNA (1943 nucleotides) under Triticum aestivum (bread wheat). RNAcentral describes it as "long non-coding RNA (TAES_LNC007010)". Lineage: Eukaryota; Viridiplantae; Streptophyta; Magnoliopsida; Poales; Poaceae. The record is from RNAcentral.
CGAGCGCCGCCGGUCUUCGUGCACAACUGGCCACCGCUGCCUCCUGCGCCAACUAUGUCCCGAGACUAGCCAUGGUGGUGGAUCCAAGAUUCGCCGAGGGAAAAGGGGAGCUGCUGCUCCCUGUUGAUGGCCGGUCCUUGCCACCGACCGCGGCACUCCCGACGUGUCCGAGCGCGAGCGCCCCUAGAGGCUUGCUCCCCUGCACCCCUGAACCAGCGCCAUCCACCACUCGAGCAGGAUGGCAAUGGCGACAACAUCCAGCGGUCCUCCUCUGCCUCUGCUUGCCCUGCGUUCAUCACUGGCCAACCGUGCAAAUCCAUGUAAAAUGAGUUCAGGUAAGUUUAGAUCCCUGUACAAAUUUCAGCUAAGAUUCAAGCACAUUUCUUGCUGGCCACACAAUGCUUGAACUGAUGGCCUUGAUUUAUGCGUGCUGAUGGCCACCUGCCUAGGCAAGCACAUUUCCUUACUUGCCUAGCUACUAGCCGGAUUCUUGUUCUGUUAUGGGUGCCGUGGUUAUUAGAACUUUAAUUGCAGCUACUAUUACAGUGUGUGGGUACAUGACUGAAACUGUAUGAUGUGUGUGCCAUGGUUACCUGAACCUUAAUUGCAGCUACUAUUACAGUGUGUGCGUACAUGACUGAAACUGUAUGAUGUGUGUACCAUGGUUACUUGAACUUCAAUUCUAGCUACUAUUCAAAUCUAAUACUAGCACGUACAAGACUAGACUCGUACUACUGCGUACUAGUGUGCCUUUUGCUUAUUCUUUCGUUGAACUUUCCAUGCUCUCUAUUCUUUCAGAGAUAUGUUCAAAGCUAGUUCCUCAGAGGUGUAUUCUUUCAUAGAUAUGUUAAAGCUAGUUCUUUAUUCUUUCAGAGAUAUGUUGUUUUCAUACUUUCAGCUCACAUUGUAGCUUUUUUCAGUUCAAUGGAUUCCAAAAAGGAAAAAAUUAUGGUUGGGUGAGAAAUCAACUUCCUGUACAGUUCUGCCAUGAGCAUAGGACGACCCCGACCACUGGCACCACUGCUUCCCGACCUCUUGCUUGCAUCGCCAUCUCCCGGUGGGGCUUUGCCGCCGGAGCACCCUGGUCGUUCACAGCCACCACUCCAGGCCGUUGAAAUAAAUCAAGCAGUGUUUUGUCGACAACAUGGUGAUAGCCCUUCACUGAAAUAAAUCAGGUAUGUUAGCCGCAGGAGUUCAAAAAUCAGCUGCUUUUCAACAGAAUAAAAUGUGUCACGCAAGUUCAAGUAUACCUACAACAGGAGUUCAAAAAUCUGAGAAAUGAAGCUCAAACCAAGUUCAAAAAUUGUUUCCUUCAUAAAUUAGUUGUUUUUGGUUAAUUCGUUGUUAUGGACAAUACAAAUACACACUGCUGUGUGGUACAUGUGUGUAUUGUAAGUGUAACAGUGCUUUGUAAUUAUAAUAGUACAUGUAUUCUAUUUUUUUGAGUUAGCAUGUAUUCUGGUGUUUUUGGUGGUUGGUAAGUUCACCGAUCAAAAUCUAAAAAGUUCAUACUCAAGAGGCGAGUAAGUUUGAUGGAUUGUCUAAAUUUUCUUUACUGGGAAAAAUCGGGAGUUAAAAAGAAGCCAUGUAGAAGUUUUUUUUUGAUUUUUUCUCAAUUGCUACUGUACUUUGCAGUUCGGCCAGUUCUUGUGUUAGUGCUUCAAAAUUAGCGCCAAAACUAGGGUAAACCAUGAUGCAUGGUAGAACAGGUUAUGCUUUUGCUUUUCAAUUAUUUUUCCUUGUUGACGAUUCGACAUUUGCACCUUUGGCUUGUAGGUAGAUAUGACAAAAAGAUUACUGUUUAAUGUACCAAUGUUCAAUCUCUUCGUAAUUCAUUCAGUCCAAAUCCAACACAUGCAAAAGAAAGGUGUGUUGAGUGAUUUUCUAGAUGUGUGUGUGUCUUCUGAUUCUGUGAUCUGUCCUUUUUGCCAAUCAAUAUCACU